CCAAUGACAAAUUUACUCAGAUUAAUUUCAUUGUUCACUACGUUUGUGUUCGCGCAGCACUUCUCUCUAGGAAUUGUGCUUGUUGAAACUGCGAUGGGGGUCCGAGACCGUGUCGAAAGCUGAAAAACGAAUAGACCUCUUUUUUUAACGUUCGUGGAUGGAAAAAGAAGUCCGUUAGAUUUUCGACUGCGAAACGGCCCGGAGUCCUACUACUGAUCGUAUAAAACGCCAUAACCUGCUAUAUAUUCGGUUUGUGUUUCCCGUUCUCGUUCUUCACUUUACUAUUCCGAUGACUGCAAAGGGGAAACUGUUCCUAUGUCUCUGUCACUGUACAAAUCUAACGUUAUAAUCACAGGAUAAUCACUUUUAAUUUUCAAAUAACGCGGCUAAUUGGACUAGGGGCGGAAAAGAAUUAAUGGUGGGAGGUGGUAAGGAGUGGGGUGUCCUGCUUUUCCUACCCAGUCAUCUGGUCACCCUGACUUUUCCGUAAAUACAAGAAGCUCGUGCCUCGUGUCGUGUGGCUUGUGAGAGUUAAAAAAUGAAUAAUAUAUACAGCAAUGCAACGACAAUGAUGGAACCAAAUAUGGAAAUAAGAGAUUUUUUUGAUUAGCUGUAACCUCCAAAAUUUUAUUAAAGGAAAGUGAAAGUUCCUUCAAAGGAAACAUAAAAAACUUUAAAGAAUAAAAUACCUGUCAUCAACAUGGGCCGAAGGCGACUUCAAGAGCAUCUUCUCAGAUAGAAAAAUGUCCGCCUGUGGCUGGCUUAUGCGCCGACACGCGGUCCGAUUGACAGGAGCGCCGUGCGGGCACCUGAGUAGCGCAAUGUGCGCGCCAUUGUUGGCUAUAUCGCCCUACCGUCCGGCGCCGCGUGCAAACCCAAUUUGCCGUCCAUGUCUAAGCCCGAAUUGCUGCCAAUAUUUUGAUCUUAAAAAAUGAGUGUGGGAUGGAGGAAAUAAAGGAAGACGUAUAUUUUAUUAUUAAUAAUAUAUUUUAAAAUUAUAAUAAAAUACUAUAAGUAAUAAAUAAUGAAUUAUUUGCUACAAAUCUAUAACGGAUGCUUGUUAUGUUGAAAGGUAUUUUCUAAAGCUGGUGGCGAAAAAUUUUUGUUGUAAAAGUGAAUAAUAAGAAAAUUAGAAUAUUACAACAUGAUUUACAUUUUUCUCGUAAAUUGCUAAACGCAUAUUAACA
RNA transcript from Belonocnema kinseyi, 1187 nucleotides. RefSeq lists it as uncharacterized. The record is from RefSeq and is a predicted model, not a curated record. The transcript has 3 exons. NCBI's taxonomy places the organism in Eukaryota, Metazoa, Arthropoda, Insecta, Hymenoptera, Cynipidae.